RNAcentral lists this ribosomal RNA (253 nucleotides) under uncultured bacterium. RNAcentral's name for it is "partial 16S ribosomal RNA". It matches the Rfam family "Bacterial small subunit ribosomal RNA", at positions 524 to 776 of the family's 1533-position model. The record is from RNAcentral.
UACGUAGGGUGCGAGCGUUAAUCGGAAUUACUGGGCGUAAAGCGUGCGUAGGCGGUUCGUUAAGUUCGUCGUGAAAGCCCCGGGCUCAACCUGGGAAUGGCGAUGGAAACUGGCGGGCUGGAGUAUGGCAGAGGGGGGUGGAAUUCCACGUGUAGCAGUGAAAUGCGUAGAGAUGUGGAGGAACACCGAUGGCGAAGGCAGCCCCCUGGGCUAACACUGACGCUCAUGCACGAAAGCGUGGGGAGCAAACAGG